GAUGAAGAACGUAGCAAAAUGCGAUAAGUAAUGUGAAUUGCAGAAUUCAGUGAAUCAUCGAAUCUUUGAACGCACAUUGCGCCCAUCAGUAUUCUGUUGGGCAUGCCUGUCCGAGCGUCAUUUCAACCCUCAGGGUCCGUUCGCGGGAACUGGUGUUGGGGAUCGGCCUCCCCCCGGAGGCCGGCCCCGAAAUGCAGUGGCGGCUCUACCGCGAUCUCCUCUGUGUAGUAGCGAUACCUCGCAGCUGGAUAGUGGUGGUGCCACGCCGUAAAAUCCCAACUUUACCAAGGUUGACCUCGGAUCAGGUAGGAAUACCCGCUGAACUUAAGCAUAUCAAUAAGCGGAGG
RNAcentral lists this unclassified non-coding RNA (347 nucleotides) under soil metagenome. RNAcentral's name for it is "partial contains 5.8S ribosomal RNA, internal transcribed spacer 2, and large subunit ribosomal RNA". The stretch from base 1 to 120 matches the Rfam family "5.8S ribosomal RNA", at positions 35 to 154 of the family's 154-position model. The record is from RNAcentral.